UUAAGCAUAUCAAUAAGCGGAGGAAAAGAAACCAACAGGGAUUACCUUAGUAACGGCGAGUGAAGCGGUAAAAGCUCAAAUUUGAAAUCUAGCACUUUCAGUGUUCGAGUUGUAAUUUGAAGAAGGUAUCUUUGGAGUUGGCCCCCGUCUAUGUUCCUUGGAACAGGACGUCACAGAGGGUGAGAAUCCCGUGCGAUGGGGAGACCAAUUCUAUGUAAAGUUCCUUCGAAGAGUCGAGUUGUUUGGGAAUGCAGCUCUAAGUGGGUGGUAAAUUCCAUCUAAAGCUAAAUAUUGGCGAGAGACCGAUAGCGAACAAGUACAGUGAUGGAAAGAUGAAAAGAACUUUGAAAAGAGAGUGAAAAAGUACGUGAAAUUGUUGAAAGGGAAGGGCUUUUGAUCAGACUUGGUGUUUAGUACUCUCUACUCCUUGUGGGUGGGGCUCUUGCUUUAUACUGGGCCAGCAUCGGUUUGGAUGGCAGGAUAAUAGCAUUGGAAUGUGGCUUCAUUCGUGAAGUGUUAUAGCCUUUGUUGAUACUGCCUAUCUAGACCGAGGACUGCGUCUUUUGACUAGGAUGCUGGCGUAAUGAUUAAAAGCCGCCCG
Molecule: ribosomal RNA, 601 nt
Filed under: Nakazawaea holstii
Lineage: Eukaryota; Fungi; Ascomycota; Pichiomycetes; Alaninales; Pachysolenaceae
Description: LSU rRNA
Rfam family: Eukaryotic large subunit ribosomal RNA
Source: RNAcentral